RNAcentral lists this ribosomal RNA (420 nucleotides) under Fusobacteriota bacterium. RNAcentral's name for it is "Fusobacteria bacterium partial 16S ribosomal RNA". It matches the Rfam family "Bacterial small subunit ribosomal RNA", at positions 355 to 776 of the family's 1533-position model. Lineage: Bacteria; Fusobacteriati; Fusobacteriota. The record is from RNAcentral.
UGGGGGUUAUUGCACAAUGGGCGAAAGCCUGCUGCCGCGACGCCGCGUGGGGGAUGAAGGCCUUCGGGUUGUAAACUUCUUUUGCUCUGAACAAGGCAUGCCUUUGGGGUGUGUUGAGUGUAGGGGUUGAUUAGCGCCGGCUAACUACGUGCCAGCAGCCGCGGUAAUACGUAGGGCGCGAGCGUUGUCCGGAAUUAUUGGGCGUAAAGGGCUUGUAGGUGGCUGGUUGCGUCUGUCGGGAAAGCUCAUGGCUUAACUGUGGGUUUGCGGUGGGUACGGGCUGGCUUGAGUGGAGGAGGGGAGGGUGGAAUUCCUGGUGUAGCGGUGUAAUGCGCAGAUAUAAGGAGGAAUACCGGUGGCGAAGGCGGGUCUCUGGGCUGUUACAGAGGCUGAGGAGCGAAAGCGUGGGGAGCGAACAGG